Molecule: long non-coding RNA, 987 nt
Filed under: Setaria viridis
Lineage: Eukaryota; Viridiplantae; Streptophyta; Magnoliopsida; Poales; Poaceae
Description: long non-coding RNA (SVIR_LNC009077)
Source: RNAcentral
AUGUUCACAUUAUUAUCAUAAAUAUAUAUUAUCUAGACUUUUUCUAUCCAACAUAUUCAGUUUUUGCUACAUAUGAACCAAAUUAUAUUUGUUAUUCAAGUAAUAGUUUUUUUAAAAUAGUCACCUCGAAAGGAUUUCUAAGGCCAACUCAACCAUAAAUGUACAUAAUUAAAAAAACCAUAAUCCAGGGAUCGGAACAUAGUAUUUGAAACAACACUCUAUUUUGAAUAUUUCUCACAAUUAAUUCAUGUUUAUUCAUUGAGUUAUCCUAAACUUUAAUAUGUUACUAGACAUAUAAGAGUUAUUUUUACUACAUAUCCAUUACUAUUGUGGUGGUAGUUUUUCAUUGUCAGUUUCAUAAUAAUCGCGGCAACCGCGCCAUAAUAGUGUGAAACGUUAAUGGCAGUUUCUUCUCAAGCAUUCACCACCAACUAUAUAUCCCAUUUCUUUCCCUACUUUGCUGCUUAAUAGCCUAAGGCGACUCUUAGCAUUGAUCAGGUUUCUGACGAGCCAUCCUUAUUCCUCAACCCUAUUUUCAUUGUUCCUAGCAUCAUCAUCAUCUCUAUAGCCUUCCUUUCCUUGGGAAGAAUCCACUCCAAUAUUCACCGUUAAUGAGCUACCUACCCACAUCAUCUCCAUGCGCUGGUAACCCUUGUUUCCAUUUACAGCUCUCCACGCCCCUAUUUCUUGUUCGGACUACGUGCAGUAGCAUUCAUUUCUUGAGUUCUUGUGGUAGCACGCAUUAUUAUGUUUUGUCGAUUUAGAUCUAGAAAGUUUCUUCCGCUAAUAAAAUGUUGUCCUAAUUUCGUCCAUUUGAUCUUCAUUUGAGUUGAAAGGAGAAAAAAAUUGAAUCAUAGCAGUGUUUUCAUUUGAUUUCUUUCUAUAACUCAGGUCUAAUGUCAAACAAUUGUUUUGGCUAGGGUUCCAGGAUUACUAGAUGAGGAAUAAGCUUGAUUAGGUGCCACUCCCCUCCCACUAAUCCCCCCC